GCGGGCGUAGCUCAAUGGUAGAGCGCUUGCUUCCCAAGCAAGAUACGCGGGUUCGAUUCCCGUCGCCCGCU
This is a transfer RNA of Micrococcus luteus NCTC 2665, 71 nucleotides long. It matches the Rfam family "tRNA". Rfam says of the family: Transfer RNA (tRNA) molecules are approximately 80 nucleotides in length. Their secondary structure includes four short double-helical elements and three loops (D, anti-codon, and T loops). Lineage: Bacteria; Bacillati; Actinomycetota; Actinomycetes; Micrococcales; Micrococcaceae. The record is from Rfam.